RNAcentral lists this transfer RNA (72 nucleotides) under Nematostella vectensis (starlet sea anemone). RNAcentral's name for it is "tRNA-Pro". It matches the Rfam family "tRNA". Rfam says of the family: Transfer RNA (tRNA) molecules are approximately 80 nucleotides in length. Lineage: Eukaryota; Metazoa; Cnidaria; Anthozoa; Actiniaria; Edwardsiidae. The record is from Rfam by way of RNAcentral.
GGCUCAGUGGUCUAGUGGUAUGAUUCUCGGUUCGGGUGCGAGAGGCCACGGGUUCGAUUCCCGUCUGAGCCC